Pelobates cultripes (western spadefoot toad) is the source of this 228-nucleotide non-coding RNA. The record is from the annotation of a GenBank genome assembly. NCBI's taxonomy places the organism in Eukaryota, Metazoa, Chordata, Amphibia, Anura, Pelobatidae.
UUUUGGUCAGUGGGAACUUGGCAUGGCUGGUAAUUUAUGGCAAUGUAUCUAUAUUUGUGGAUGAGUGACUCGGGGAAUAAUUUUACAUUUUUACUGCAGGAAGAGAGUGAGAGGUGGAAGCGAGGGAAGGUGAGAGGAGAGAUGCAGGCGGCAAACAAGGGAGUAAAUAUUCUUAGCUCAGAGUCAACUGAUCGUAUUAACCUCUUCUUAGCCCCCCAAAAAAACUGC